Molecule: non-coding RNA, 145 nt
Organism: Xylaria sp. FL1777
Lineage: Eukaryota; Fungi; Ascomycota; Sordariomycetes; Xylariales; Xylariaceae
Source: the annotation of a GenBank genome assembly
UCUCGAUUGGUCUAGUGGUCAGGAUACCUGCUUGUCAUUACAUUAGAUGAUUACGAACUUCACGAUGGUGGAUAUUAUUAGUAGUAGUAAAGCGAUUCUAAAGAGCAAGCCGCAGGUGGCCGGGGUUCGAUUCCCCGAUCGAGAG